AUUGAACGCUGGCGGCAGGCUUAACACAUGCAAGUCGAACGAGUGGCGGACGGGUGAGUAAUGCUUGGGAAUCUAGCUUAUGGAGGGGGAUAACUACGGGAAACUGUAGCUAAUACCGCGUACCAUAGGAUGAGCCCAAGUGGGAUUAGGUAGUUGGUGGGGUAAUGGCUCAACAAGGCUACGAUCCAUAGAUGGUCUGAGAGGAUGAUCAGCCACACUGGGACUGAGACACGGCCCAGACUCCGACGGGAGGCAGCAGUGGGGAAUAUGGCACAAUGGGCGCAAGCCUGAUGCAGCCAUGCCGCGUGUAUGAAGAAGGCCUUAGGGUUGUAAAGUACUUUCAGCGGGGAGGCGUUACCCGCAGAAGAAGCACCGGCUAACUCCGUGCCAGCAGCCGCGGUAAUUC
This 406-nucleotide ribosomal RNA is filed under the name uncultured bacterium. Its description in RNAcentral is "partial 16S ribosomal RNA". It matches the Rfam family "Bacterial small subunit ribosomal RNA", at positions 30 to 526 of the family's 1533-position model. The record is from RNAcentral.